This 211-nucleotide unclassified non-coding RNA is filed under the name uncultured Mucor. RNAcentral's name for it is "sequence contains ITS2". Lineage: Eukaryota; Fungi; Mucoromycota; Mucoromycetes; Mucorales; Mucoraceae. The record is from RNAcentral.
ACACCCCACAUUCAAAAUCUUUUUUUUUUGAAUGGAACUGAGCGACUUUUACGGUCUUUUUUUUAAGACUGUUCGCUUUAAAAAUAUUAGGCCUGGAAUUUAGUAUUUUCUUGAUUUGCCUGAACUUUUUUUUUAAUAUAAAGGAAAAGCUCUGGUUCAAACCUAUUGAAGUUCUAAAAGCUUUGGGGCCUCUCAAAUAAAACUUUCUUAA